RNAcentral lists this ribosomal RNA (519 nucleotides) under uncultured bacterium. Its description in RNAcentral is "partial 16S ribosomal RNA". It matches the Rfam family "Bacterial small subunit ribosomal RNA", at positions 29 to 523 of the family's 1533-position model. The record is from RNAcentral.
AACAAACGCUGGCGGCGUGCCUAACACAUGCAAGUCGUACGAGAAAGGGUCCUUCGGGGCCUGAGUAAAGUGGCGCACGGGUGAGUAACGCGUGGAUAAUCUACCCUUCAGUUGGGAAUAACUCAUCGAAAGGUGGGCUAAUACCGAAUAACACUGUAAGACCUUGGUCGAUCAGUCAAAGAGAGCCUCUGCUUGCAUGCCCUCGCUGAAGGAUGAGUCCGCGUACCAUUAGCUAGUUGGUAGGGUAAUGGCCUACCAAGGCGACGAUGGUUAGCUGGUCUGAGAGGAUGAUCAGCCACACUGGAACUGAGACACGGUCCAGACUCCUACGGGAGGCAGCAGUGAGGAAUCUUGCGCAAUGGGGGCAACCCUGACGCAGCAACGCCGCGUGAGUGAGGAAGGUCUUCGGAUCGUAAAGCUCUGUCGGAUGGAAAGAACCGCAUGGGGGUAAAUAGCCCUCAUGUCUGACGGUACCAUCAGAGGAAGCACCGGCUAACUCCGUGCCAGCAGCCGCGGUAA